This 684-nucleotide long non-coding RNA is filed under the name Populus tremula. Its description in RNAcentral is "long non-coding RNA (PTRE_LNC000231)". Lineage: Eukaryota; Viridiplantae; Streptophyta; Magnoliopsida; Malpighiales; Salicaceae. The record is from RNAcentral.
GGGCCACUACCCUGAAAACACAAUGUAGCGCUGCACUUGGGUGGAGUGGUGAUGAUUGUAGCAGCGGUAAAGCAGCGAUUACAAUGUUGAUAGCUCCAAGAAAAAUAUAUUUUCUUUGAUGAGGUUAAAAAAGAUUUCUUCGAACCAGCAAUAUGUAGGAGUGAAUCGGGAAAUGUUUUUCUCGGGAGGAGACAUGGAGAAGAUGUAAAACAAUUUCUUCAGAGUAGCAGUAAAAGACAGAUUCCCAGUAGCUUGUGAUUUUGGAGAUGCAUCAACCAGUCCAAUGAUGAUAUAGCACUCUGUUCAAAGUUGAAGAAAAAGAGAAGAAAGACCACUUUUCAACUGCUCAGGAUCAAUGUUUCUUUGAAGUUAAACUUUCUUUUGCUUUCUUCAAGUAAAAAAGCUGUUUCCCUUUAUGCAACUGUUGAAUUUUUCACAGAGCAGUACUUUCUGGCAGGGGUGGCUUGAUCUUUUGUUGCCUGCAGAUCUUGCAUUAAUGCUUCCUUGAUUUUGGGCAAUUACACGAGGCAUUCUCUGAGCUAAGAUGAUCUUUGUUCUAAGCUCGUCCACCUGCACAAUUACAUGGCGUUAAGGGACCCUCGUUGAAUUCCAGCUAGAUUUUGGAAGCAGCCUCUCACAGGGAUGAGAGGCUUCCUUGCUGCAAAUAUGCUUGGCCUCUUACAC